Molecule: long non-coding RNA, 644 nt
Organism: Vombatus ursinus (common wombat)
Lineage: Eukaryota; Metazoa; Chordata; Mammalia; Diprotodontia; Vombatidae
Exons: 3
Source: RefSeq, a predicted model, not a curated record
AAGCGAACACGAUGACGAGAAUAUCCUGCAAGCUGUUCAUCUGCACCAAUCCCAGUAAGAACUACCUAUAGAAGUUUGAAUAAAUUGAAUUAAGUAAUCCCAGUGGAUGUGAGAAGGGGACAGGUAGCAAAAGUAUACAAAGGACCAUGCUGCUGGGAAAUCAUUUACUGAAAAUUGGGGAGCUGAACACCUAAAUGAAGUGUGGAGGUGGCAUGGUGGAUAUGCAGUUAUUUUGAGAAGAAGAAAAUGAAGCACUUGUAUGACUGCAUACGAAUCCCUACAAGUUGGCCAGCAGACUGUCAUUAAUGGUGGGGAAGGGGGUGUGGUAAUAGCCCCGAGUGCACAGAUUACCACCGCAGUAAAACAAAUGAUUUGGAUUAGGUAACAUCUAAGACAGCUGCCAACUCUAAAGAAUUUGAUGAUUACAGUAGCAAACUGCUGUACUGGAAAGAACAUUAGACUUAGUAAUCAGAAAAAAUCCAGCUUCUGUUCUGGCUUUGCCACUUGAUAAUUGUGUAUCCACAGGCAAGUCACAACUUCUAUGAUCAUCUAAUUUGCUGCACGUGAAAUGGGAAUACUAAUAUUUAUAAUACUCACAAGGUUAUGAGACAAAUAUGAGACUUUUUUUUUUUAGGCAAUUGGGG